This 743-nucleotide long non-coding RNA is filed under the name Polistes fuscatus (common paper wasp). RNAcentral's name for it is "uncharacterized LOC122525372". The record is from RNAcentral. Lineage: Eukaryota; Metazoa; Arthropoda; Insecta; Hymenoptera; Vespidae.
AAUAAAAUUAAUUAAACUUAAUUAAAUAAAAAAACAUAAUAAGGAUAGAAAUAAAAAGAGUCGUGUUAAUCGCAUUUAAACGAGCACCAUUGUUCGCGCACUUUGCGAACAUUCUUAAUAGCGGAAAAAUUCGAAUGGUGCAUCUCUGUCGAUUUAGAAAAUCGAGUAUUAUUAAAUAAAUUUUCGUUUUAAAAGUUGAUAGAUCGUAAGAAAAAAGGAUUGAGAGUAAAGAGAAGAAAGAUAACAGACCGUUAUUCGUUUGCGAUGAAAAUUUAGGUAAAAUGGAAGGAGAUUGGACGUUCGCACGCGCGCGCGCGCGCGCGCGCGCAUCGAUGUGAACAUUUUAAAGGGGUGGGAGUAGUGACGCAGACGGUGGCAGCACUGACGCUUCUGGAAACGGUAUCCCCGCGCCGCUAAGUAACACACACGCGCGCGCGCGCGUAUAUAUAUUAUACACGUAUUAAAUACUAACACAGAGAUUGGAUUCGCUCAUGCCAACAGCCAGUUUUCUUUCGGUAGAGCUAAGGAUAGGAAGAUUUAUUCGAUAGACUUUUAAGAGAGAGUAUAAUAGAAGACAUUUUCGAUAUUGUAAAGUUGUAUUCUGAAAAGAGACGACAACGACGAGGAAGGUGUUGAACAUUUAGACGUCGCGUUAUGCCGCAGGCUCGACGCGUAUCGCGUUGUUACGAUUGGCCGUUCGUAAGGCCAAGCGAGGAAGAUAGUAAUAGUGAUAGUAGUAGUAG